RNAcentral lists this ribosomal RNA (495 nucleotides) under uncultured bacterium. Its description in RNAcentral is "partial 16S ribosomal RNA". It matches the Rfam family "Bacterial small subunit ribosomal RNA", at positions 28 to 507 of the family's 1533-position model. The record is from RNAcentral.
GACGAACGCUGGCGGCGUGCCUAAUACAUGCAAGUAGAACGCUGAAGGAGGAGCUUGCUUCUCCGGAUGAGUUGCGAACGGGUGAGUAACGCGUAGGUAACCUGCCUGGUAGCGGGGGAUAACUAUUGGAAACGAUAGCUAAUACCGCAUAAGAGUAGAUGUCGCAUGACAUUUGCUUAAAAGGUGCAACUGCACCACUACCAGAUGGACCUGCGUUGUAUUAGCUAGUUGGUGAGGUAACGGCUCACCAAGGCAACGACACAUAGCCGACCUGAGAGGGUGAUCGGCCACACUGGGACUGAGACACGGCCCAGACUCCUACGGGAGGCAGCAGUAGGGAAUCUUCGGCAAUGGACGGAAGUCUGACCGAGCAACGCCGCGUGAGUGAAGAAGGUUUUCGGAUCGUAAAGCUCUGUUGUAAGAGAAGAACGAGUGUGAGAGUGGAAAGUUCACACUGUGACGGUAUCUUACCAGAAAGGGACGGCUAACUACGUG